RNAcentral lists this ribosomal RNA (854 nucleotides) under uncultured bacterium. RNAcentral's name for it is "SSU rRNA". It matches the Rfam family "Bacterial small subunit ribosomal RNA", at positions 524 to 1381 of the family's 1533-position model. The record is from RNAcentral.
UACGGAGGAUCCGAGCGUUAUCCGGAUUUAUUGGGUUUAAAGGGUGCGUAGGUGGUUUGAUAAGUCAGCGGUGAAAGUUUGCAGCUUAACUGUAAAAAUGCCGUUGAAACUGUCGGACUUGAGUGUAAAUGAGGUAGGCGGGAUGCGUGGUGUAGCGGUGAAAUGCAUAGAUAUCACGCAGAACUCCGAUUGCGAAGGCAGCUUACUAAGCUACAACUGACACUGAAGCACGAAAGCGUGGGGAUCAAACAGGAUUAGAUACCCUGGUAGUCCACGCAGUAAACGAUGAUUACUAGCUGUUUGCGAUACACAGUAAGCGGCACAGCGAAAGCGUUAAGUAAUCCACCUGGGGAGUACGCCGGCAACGGUGAAACUCAAAGGAAUUGACGGGGGCCCGCACAAGCGGAGGAACAUGUGGUUUAAUUCGAUGAUACGCGAGGAACCUUACCCGGGUUUGAACGUAGGGAGACAGGGGUGGAAACAUCCUUUUCAGCAAUGACUGCCUACGAGGUGCUGCAUGGUUGUCGUCAGCUCGUGCCGUGAGGUGUCGGCUUAAGUGCCAUAACGAGCGCAACCCUUAUUUCCAGUUACUAACAGGUCAAGCUGAGGACUCUGGAGAGACUGCCAGCGUAAGCUGUGAGGAAGGUGGGGAUGACGUCAAAUCAGCACGGCCCUUACAUCCGGGGCGACACACGUGUUACAAUGGUAAGGACAAAGGGCAGCUACCGGGCGACCGGAUGCGAAUCUCUAAACCUUAUCUCAGUUCGGAUCGGAGUCUGCAACUCGACUCCGUGAAGCUGGAUUCGCUAGUAAUCGCGCAUCAGCCAUGGCGCGGUGAAUACGUUCCCGGGCCU